This 525-nucleotide ribosomal RNA is filed under the name uncultured fungus. RNAcentral's name for it is "eukaryotic LSU rRNA". The stretch from base 191 to 344 matches the Rfam family "5.8S ribosomal RNA". The record is from RNAcentral. Lineage: Eukaryota; Fungi.
AAGUCGUAACAAGGUCUCCGUAGGUGAACCUGCGGAGGGAUCAUUACUGAGUGAGGGCCUCCGGUCCGACCUCCAACCCUCUGUGAACCAACACUGUUGCUUCGGGGGCUCCCCUGCCCUUCGGGCUCAGGGCCCCCGGAGGAAAUCAAAAUCUGCAUCUCUGCGUCGGAGUAUCAAUCAAAUUGAACAAAACUUUCAACAACGGAUCUCUUGGUUCUGGCAUCGAUGAAGAACGCAGCGAAAUGCGAUAAGUAAUGUGAAUUGCAGAAUUCAGUGAAUCAUCGAAUCUUUGAACGCACAUUGCGCCCCGUGGCAUUCCGCGGGGCAUGCCUGUUCGAGCGUCAUUUCACCACUCAAGCCUCGCUUGGUAUUGGGCGUCGCGGCUCCGCGCGCCUCAAAGUCUCCGGCUGAGCUGUCCGUCUCCCAGCGUUGUGACACACGAUCGCUCCGAGUUCGAACAGCCGCGGCCGUUAAACUUAUCUAAAGGUUGACCUCGGAUCAGGUAGGGAUACCCGCUGAACUUAA